UGUCAAUAAAAUAUUGGUCUGAUUUGCUAUAUUUAACCAGGGUUGUCUCUAAGACCCAGGAGGCGGGGAAUUCCCCCGCCUAUAAUGCCUUAAUUACCCGGCUAUUAUUGCAUUUCAAACACAAUGUAGCUAUAAGCAAGACCCCCAGACCCCCUGCUACUUUUUCAUUUCUUCCCUCUACUUCAAUUUUUAGAGACAACCCUGUUUAACAUAUAAACACAAAAAAAAUGUAGGGAUGAGACAAUCCACCGAUUCACCAGUGCAUCACAGUAUAUAUUUUGACGAUAUUUGGAUUGAUGCAUUUACCAUUAAUACAACAAUACCUUGGCGAACUUUUUUUAUUUUCCAAAAAUAUCCGAGCUUCAUAUAUCGGCUAUUUUUAGUCCGGGCGCCUAAUAUGAAAUUACAAAGAUGUCGGAAAACCUCGUAAAGUUGUCAAAUCGAAGCUAAAUCUGGAGUGUGGAAAACUUUUGAAUCACUUGUCUAUGAAAAAGUAGUGAAUACAAGACUUAUGUGAUUUGUAAAUUGUUCAACGUUCAUUUAAAAUAUAAUGAAAUCACUUUGGACAUGUGAUUGCUGUGCAUGAUGGAUACUCCCAUGAAAUUUCCAUAGGAUUGUAGUGAAAAAUGAAAUCGGAUGAUGGAAACCAAAUGUUGAAAUGCAAUAAACAGAUAAUUCCUGUCUAUGCAAGAUAAAGGAAGGAGAGUCGAUUCUUUCAAGAAAGGAAUGGAUCUGUAUCAAAGGAAAAAAGGAAAAUGGAAGCCAUACUAUAGACAGGCUGUCAGGCUGUAUUUAAACUAAAGACCUCCUGGGAUGAGGAGAAAAAGAAACAAGUAGAACCUGUAUUUCUUGUGGAGUACAUGAAGAUGUCAUCAGAAUAUGAAAAUGAUUGGGAAGAUGAUACAAUAUAUGAAAUCGCAUCUCUAAAGUGGCGCUCUGACGAAUGUUUAAUUGGACACCAAAAGUUCCGCUCUGAAAUCCAAAUGUUCAAAAAGGCAAAGUAUAAGACGUAUAAGGACCAACAAAGAAUCAUCUAGAGACAAACCAGAAAAUAUAUGAAAUGAACAGAAAUGGGCCAUUUGAGAUUUUUUAAAAAGUUGCUACUGUCAUGUAUAAUUAGCUCACCUGAGCUGAAAGUUAUUAUAUGGUUUUACUGAUAUGCAAGCAUUUUGACAUGUACAUUGUUGAUUGUAUAAAAUUGUUAACUCCGUCCCAUGGACAAUUUUUGUUCCUCGUAAGAGGUUCAUAUUUUGAUGUAGGUUUAUUAUCCAUGUAUAAAGAGUUGUUUAACACUUCUUGAGAACUGCAAAGCUCAGUAUGUGACAUGACUGUAAAAUCAUUGCAAAGUAGCUUGAUGUAGUGUUGUAGUAUGAUGAACCUAAAAAUAUGCUGGGUAUUUUUUUAAAUACAGGAUCUAAUAUUACCUGUUCA
This is a long non-coding RNA of Magallana angulata, 1431 nucleotides long. RefSeq lists it as uncharacterized. The record is from RefSeq and is a predicted model, not a curated record. The transcript has 4 exons. NCBI's taxonomy places the organism in Eukaryota, Metazoa, Mollusca, Bivalvia, Ostreida, Ostreidae.